AGCAAAAAGACAAAAAAAAAAAAAAAGGUUAAGUGGUACAUUUAUGCUAUUACUAUAGAGCAUAUACUGUACUGGAGGAGAAAUUAUAGGCUAGAGAUAGUAGGCCAAAUCACGGUGAAAGUGGUGCUGUUCGUAGUGACGGUGGUGAAGGUGACGAGAAGGCUUGCAAAACACAGCUCUGAUUCAGAUUUUUCCAACUGUUUUGGCAUGAAAAAUGAUUUAAAAUAAAGGGAAGUCUCGCCCAGGGCUAAGAGUCAUACUUUGAGUGCUCACUGAAGGCUUAUGCUAAGAGAUUUACAUGCAUUAACUCAUUUAUUCUUCACAAUGAUCCCAUGAGAGUGGAAACUACUGUUAUCCUCUUUGGAGAUUUAGCAAAAUUAACCACCUGAUAAUUUUGAUAAGCCACGGAAAUAUGCCAUGGAGCCCAUGGUGCCAAUAGGGCGAGGAUUUGAACUUAAAAUGUCUGACGAGCCAAGUGGUUCUCAAACCUUAGUGUACAUCAGAAUCACCUGGAGGGCUUGUUAAACCAUAGAUUGCUGGGCUCUACCAUCAGAGUUUCACUGGUUCUGGGGUGGGGCCCAAAGAUUGCCAUUCUAACAAGUUCCCAGAUAACACAUAUGUUGCUGGUUGGGUACCACACUUUGGAAUCAGUGUAGUAGCUAUUUUCUUAACCACCACAAGUAAUAGUAGAAGGGCUUGCUCUGUCCAAGAAGCAUCCUGGGGAAUUACACAGGGUAACCGAUGUAUUGGAAGGAGCAGGUGAGGGAGAUAAGGAGCAGAGUUCCUACCCUUUCUCACUUUGCCUCCCUCUUUGCUAUGACGCAAGGGCAGCUGCUGAUGUCCAUUAGCAAGGUAUGAGUUUUGAGGCAUUUUUCCCUGGAAAGAGAGUGUGAUAGAGUCAUGCAUUCUCAUGAGUCUCCUUUGUCUAUCCAAAUAUUCCCAUCCUUCAAGCUCAAGAUGAAAUCCCGUCUAAGGUUGAGCUCUUGGUUUUCACAACUCAGAUUUUUUCUAGAUCCAGUGUUACGCAGGGUAGAGAUGAUUAAUCUCUCGUUGAUUUACAUGUGUUUGUCUUUCUUCUCCAGUUAGUUUAAAACUUUUUUGACGUCAAGGAUAGUGGUUUGUAUUUAUCUAGGACUUCCAUGUGGCUAGAACAUUGUUAGACUAGCUGUAUAGUCAAUGAUUACUGGGAAAAAAUGGUUCAAUCAGUCAGAGAUUACCAUUACAUUAAUAUUAAUAAAAUUAGAAUGAAAUAUACAAGAAUAUAAUGAAUAUUUCAGACUACUAAAUGUUGGUUAGACUCUGGCAGCCCUGCUGUUAGUCCAGUGAUGACUUUGAAGGAAAUAGAUAGAAAUUUACCUUUGUUCAAGACACCUAACUGGCAUCCAUACAAAUCUAAGAAUCCUGAAAGGGGAUGGUGACCCUGGAUCUGUGCAAGUUACACCUUGCACAACUCUUAGACAAGGAGGGCCCUGUGUAUUGGGUGGACCAUACGGAGUCACUGCUCCCUUCCAAAGCAGAUGAUGGUCUUAAUAAAUAUUACUCAUAAUAGCUCUCCCAUCGUAUGUGGUGCAUAUAUCUGUAACUGGAGUCAAAAUAUUCUGUAAUUUUCUAACCUUUGGUCUUUCUUCCCCAUUAUAUUUUAGUAAUGAGUGCCCUAAGGGUAAGGACCAUGUCUUAUCUUUGUAUUCCUGUGUCGAGAGAAAUAGACUGCCUGUCAUAGGCCCUCACAAUAAAUGUUUGCUGAAUGAAGUAAUAAGCGAAUAAAUAUAAAUUGCCAUUGUCAAGUUAUUUGAAGCUAUAUGAUAUAGGAAAAUGCUUUGGAAUUGCUUAGAGAAACUGCAGAGCGAUAGGCAACUUCAAGGGAGAAAGGUCAGUGGUGCCGUCUGAGUUUUGGUACUUCACUAUCGCAGAGUGCCACGACGAGUUUUCCUAGCCUUCUCACCAACGACCCAGGCGACAGGUGAAUUGAUUCUUCCUCCCGUUACACAUAAGAGGAGGUCUCUGGGUGUCUGAUGAGUGCCCUUCAGAGCCAUCAGUCCUGUCCUUGUUAGGGACCCUAGACUCACAGAAUUACGAGCUUGUCCCAGUUAUAUAAAUUCCACAGUUCUUUGGAAUUAUUGUUCCUUGAUGAUGUUGUCAGAUCAGGACACCUGCGUCUUCCAACAGUGGUGAUGUUUAUGUUGAAAGUCUUUAUGGAAAUAUUGCAUCGGAGAAUUUACUAUGGAGAUGUAGCAAAGCUCAGGAGUGCCUUCCUCUCUUGACCAUACGCCUUCAUUUGACUUCCUAAAAAUUCCUUCUUUUCUCUUGGCCUUUGUGUAGUCAUCACUACAGUUCAGCAGGUGUUGUUAGUAUCCCAUCCUCACUUACCCGCUUGUGGCCGGAUGGUGCUUCCCUGUCUCCCUGGAACUUGGGCAGCCAUGUGACUCUCUCUGGCCAAUGGAGGGGGAGGAGGGGGACGUAAGUCACUUCCUGCUGGAAGCCUGAAGAACCAGCCUGUGACUCCCUACUUUAUCCUCCCCGUUGCUCGGAUGAUGAUGGGUCAAACUGAAGCCUCCAUCAGCCCAAAGUCUCUGAGUAAUUUCUGUCUGUUGCAAAUUGUGCCUCUCCAAUAGUGAAGAAUAAAACUCCCCAGCAGAGUGAGAAGCUCCAGCCCCAAAGAAGAGAAGUGACAAAAAGAAGAAAAAAAAUUGAGAGGGGAGGUGGAAGAAAACUAUCAGACAGAGAAUAAAGCCUAAAAUGAACUAGCA
This is a non-coding RNA of Sus scrofa (pig), 2747 nucleotides long. Lineage: Eukaryota; Metazoa; Chordata; Mammalia; Artiodactyla; Suidae. The record is from RefSeq and is a predicted model, not a curated record.